AUAUUAUUAAGCGGAGGAAAAGAAACUAACAAGGAUUCCUCUAGUAACGGCGAGUGAAAGGGGAAAAGCCCAAUUUUAAAUCGUGUACCGUCAGGCACGCGAGUUGUAAUCUUACGACGUGUAGUCAGUGUUUGGCCCGGGAAUAACUCCCUUGAAAAGGGGGAUCAUAGAGCGUUACAAUCGCGUUCAUGGCCUGGUGCCCAUCACGUACGACUUACGUUCAAAGAGUAGGGUUGCUUGGGAUCGCAGCCCGAAGUGGGAGGUAAGCUUCUUCUAAGGCUAAAUAUUGGCGGGAGACCGAUAGCGCACAAGUA
This 314-nucleotide ribosomal RNA is filed under the name uncultured eukaryote. Its description in RNAcentral is "partial large subunit ribosomal RNA". It matches the Rfam family "Eukaryotic large subunit ribosomal RNA", at positions 40 to 350 of the family's 3401-position model. The record is from RNAcentral.